UACGUAGGGGGCAAGCGUUGUCCGGAAUUAUUGGGCGUAAAGCGCGUGUAGGCGGUCCGGUAAGUCGGUUGUGAAAGUCCAGGGCUCAACCCUGGGAUGCCGACCGAUACUGUCGGACUAGAGUUCGGAAGAGGCGAGUGGAAUUCCCGGUGUAGCGGUGAAAUGCGCAGAUAUCGGGAGGAACACCAAUGGCGAAGGCAGCUCGCUGGGACGUUACUGACGCUGAGACGCGAAAGCGUGGGGAGCGAACGGG
Molecule: ribosomal RNA, 253 nt
Filed under: uncultured bacterium
Lineage: Bacteria
Description: partial 16S ribosomal RNA
Rfam family: Bacterial small subunit ribosomal RNA
Source: RNAcentral